This 65-nucleotide transfer RNA is filed under the name Curculionoidea sp. 18 KM-2017. Its description in RNAcentral is "tRNA-Trp". Lineage: Eukaryota; Metazoa; Arthropoda; Insecta; Coleoptera. The record is from RNAcentral.
AAAAAUUUAAGUUAAAAAAACUAUUGACCUUCAAAUUCAAAAAUGAGAAAUUUACUCAAUUUUUA